GAUGAACGCUGGCGGCGUGCCUAAUACAUGCAAGUCGAGCGAACAGACGAGGAGCUUGCUCCUCUGACGUUAGCGGCGGACGGGUGAGUAACACGUGGAUAACCUACCUAUAAGACUGGGAUAACUUCGGGAAACCGGAGCUAAUACCGGAUAAUAUAUUGAACCGCAUGGUUCAAUAGUGAAAGACGGUUUUGCUGUCACUUAUAGAUGGAUCCGCGCCGCAUUAGCUAGUUGGUAAGGUAACAGCUUACCAAGGCAACGAUGCGUAGCCGACCUGAGAGGGGGGUCGGGCACACCGGAACUGAGACCAGGUCCAGACUCCUACGGGGAGCCGCAGGAGGGAAUCUUCCGGAAUGGGCGAAAGCCUGACGGAGCAACGCCGCGUGAGUGAUGAAGGUCUUCGGAUCGUAAAACUCUGUUAUUAGGGAAGAACAAAUGUGUAAGUAACUAUGCACGUCUUGACGGUACCUAAUCAGAAAGCCACGGCUAACUACGUG
This 497-nucleotide ribosomal RNA is filed under the name uncultured bacterium. Its description in RNAcentral is "partial 16S ribosomal RNA". It matches the Rfam family "Bacterial small subunit ribosomal RNA", at positions 28 to 507 of the family's 1533-position model. The record is from RNAcentral.